UUCCACCUAUGAUGAGUCGCAAACCUUAUUGCCUACAUUGUUUGAUCAAUCUUAUGAGAAGCUUCCUCAAGGACAGAGGAUGAA
Molecule: non-coding RNA, 84 nt
Organism: Triticum aestivum (bread wheat)
Lineage: Eukaryota; Viridiplantae; Streptophyta; Magnoliopsida; Poales; Poaceae
Source: Rfam